Molecule: ribosomal RNA, 269 nt
Filed under: uncultured prokaryote
Description: partial 16S ribosomal RNA
Rfam family: Bacterial small subunit ribosomal RNA
Source: RNAcentral
UACGGAGGAUGCAAGCGUUAUCCGGAUUUAUUGGGUUUAAAGGGUGCGUAGGCGGGAAAAUAAGUCAGUGGUGGAAUCCUACAGCUUAACUGUAGAAUUGCCGUUGAUACUGUUUUUCUUGAGUAUGGUCAAGGAAGGCGGAAUGUGUAAUGUAGCGGUGAAAUGCUUAGAUAUUACACAGAACACCAAUUGCGAAGGCAGCUUUCUGGCCCAUUACUGACGCUGAGGCACAAAAGCGUGGGGAUCGAACAGGAUUAGAUACCCUGGUA